RNAcentral lists this long non-coding RNA (247 nucleotides) under Theobroma cacao (cacao). RNAcentral describes it as "long non-coding RNA (TCAC_LNC001084)". The record is from RNAcentral. Lineage: Eukaryota; Viridiplantae; Streptophyta; Magnoliopsida; Malvales; Malvaceae.
CCACUAAGAUUGUUAAAUGUUUUUACAUCCGAAAUUCUAGCCAUGCCUUUGCGUUGGCUGAGUCUCACUCUCACGCGGUGGUCCACGUGAAGUGCACUCAAAUCUUUACCUCAGGAGAUACUUCAUCCAACAUCUCCCCCCAGAGGUAAAUAUAUAAUUGGGUUACCGUGCCCCUUUCAUAGGCAAUCCACGGAAACCCCCACCACUACAGUGACUCUGGAUUAUUUUAUCUACCACCUGAUUUAUA